Molecule: ribosomal RNA, 233 nt
Filed under: uncultured bacterium
Lineage: Bacteria
Description: partial 16S ribosomal RNA
Rfam family: Bacterial small subunit ribosomal RNA
Source: RNAcentral
GACGAACGCUGGCGGCGUGCUUAACACAUGCAAGUCGAGCGGUAAGGCCCUUUCGGGGGUACGACGAGCGGCGAACGGGUGAGUAACACGUGGGUGACCUGCCCUCAGCUCUGGGAUAAGCCCGGGAAACUGGGUCUAAUACCGGAUAUGACUUCAUGACGCAUGUUGUGGAGUGGAAAGCCUCGUGCGGCUGAGGAUGGGCCCGCGGCCUAUCAGCUUGUUGGUGGGGGUGA